UACGGAGGGUGCAAGCAUUGAUCGGAAUUACUGGGCGUAAAGGGCGCGUAGGCGGCUUAUUAAGUCAGAUGUGAAAUUCCGGGGCUCAACCCCGGAGCUGCAUUUGAAACUGAUGAGUUAGUGGCUAGUAAGGGAAAACAGAAUUCCACGUGUAGCGGUGAAAUGCGUAGAUAUGUGGAAGAAUACCGGUGGUGAAGACGGUUUUCUGUGCUAAGCCAGACGCUGAGGCGCGAAAGCUAGGGGAGCAAACAGG
This 253-nucleotide ribosomal RNA is filed under the name uncultured bacterium. Its description in RNAcentral is "partial 16S ribosomal RNA". It matches the Rfam family "Bacterial small subunit ribosomal RNA", at positions 524 to 776 of the family's 1533-position model. The record is from RNAcentral.